Molecule: long non-coding RNA, 446 nt
Filed under: Musa acuminata (dwarf banana)
Lineage: Eukaryota; Viridiplantae; Streptophyta; Magnoliopsida; Zingiberales; Musaceae
Description: long non-coding RNA (MACU_LNC003819)
Source: RNAcentral
GGCCUUGCCCACCAUCUUGUUGUCCGGCAUGGCCGCCCAGGUGUCGGCCAGCCCGAAGAGGAGGCCGUAGAGGAAGAGGUGGAGGCGGGACGGUUUCAUGUCGUCCGGGAUGACGAAGAGCGGGGCGGAGAAGAUGAGUCCCGUCCAGGUGCCCGGGUCGGAGCGGAGGUACAUCAGGAGGGUGGCGGCGCCGCCCAUGGACUCGCCGAAGAGGAAGGCCGGCAGGCCGGGCGACUCCCGGCGCACCGAGACGAAGAAGGACAAGGAUGCGCCCGCGACGGCCUCCAUGUCGCCGAGGUAGCAGCGGAUGCCGUCGGAUCGGCCGUGGCCAAGGAGGUCGGCGCAGUAAACGGCGUAGCCCCAGUUGGCGUAGGCGAUGGCGAUCUUCUGGAAGAGCCAGGCAGUGUCCGAGCCGUAGCCGUGACUCAUGAAGACGAGAGCCUUGA